CGAUAGAGGUUGCGGAGAUUAAGAGUAGCGGUUCGCACAGUGUGGGAACUUAGGACCGUGAAAGGAUGAUCCGCCGAAGUUUGCCCGGCACCCGAGCCCGGCAUACUGGGACGGCGUAAUAAGAUGCGCCGGACUGUCACGCAAGUGGAGAGCUAUCAU
This 159-nucleotide non-coding RNA is filed under the name bovine gut metagenome. RNAcentral's name for it is "Lysine riboswitch". It matches the Rfam family "Lysine riboswitch aptamer". From Rfam's summary of the family: Riboswitches are metabolite binding domains within certain messenger RNAs that serve as precision sensors for their corresponding targets. The record is from RNAcentral.